CCUACGGGAGGCAGCAGUGAGGAAUAUUGGUCAAUGGGCUUACGCCUGAACCAGCCAAGUCGCGUGAGGGAAGACUGCCCUAUGGGUUGUAAACCUCUUUUGUCAGGGAGCAACGCCGGCUACGUGUAGCCGGACUGGGAGUACCUGAAGAAAAAGCAUCGGCUAACUCCGUGCCAGCAGCCGCGGUAAUACGGAGGAUGCGAGCGUUAUCCGGAUUUAUUGGGUUUAAAGGGUGCGUCGGCGGAAUGCCAAGUCAGCGGUAAAAGCGCGGGGCUCAACCCCGCGCCGCCGUUGAAACUGGCGUUCUUGAGUGGGCGAGAGGUAUGCGGAAUGCGUGGUGGAGCGGUGAAAUGCAUAGAU
RNAcentral lists this ribosomal RNA (360 nucleotides) under uncultured bacterium. RNAcentral's name for it is "partial 16S ribosomal RNA". It matches the Rfam family "Bacterial small subunit ribosomal RNA", at positions 338 to 695 of the family's 1533-position model. The record is from RNAcentral.